Molecule: non-coding RNA, 75 nt
Organism: Athelia sp. TMB
Lineage: Eukaryota; Fungi; Basidiomycota; Agaricomycetes; Atheliales; Atheliaceae
Source: the annotation of a GenBank genome assembly
GACCCGAUGGCGCAGUGGCAAGCGCGUCCAUUUACAAUGUGUCGGAAGGCUCCUGUUCGACUCAGGAUCGGGUCG